Molecule: ribosomal RNA, 140 nt
Filed under: uncultured bacterium
Lineage: Bacteria
Description: partial 16S ribosomal RNA
Rfam family: Bacterial small subunit ribosomal RNA
Source: RNAcentral
UGGGGGAAGUAUUGCACAAUGGGGGAAACCCGUGAUGCAGCGACGCCGCGUGAAGGAAGAAGUAUCUCGGUAUGUAAACUUCUAUCAGCAGGGAAGAUAGUGACGGUACCUGACUAAGAAGCCCCGGCUAACUACGUGCC